RNAcentral lists this ribosomal RNA (254 nucleotides) under uncultured bacterium. RNAcentral's name for it is "partial 16S ribosomal RNA". It matches the Rfam family "Bacterial small subunit ribosomal RNA", at positions 524 to 776 of the family's 1533-position model. The record is from RNAcentral.
UACGUAGGGGGCGAGCGUUGUCCGAAGUUACUGGGCGUAAAGCGCGCGUAGGCGGUCAUUUAAGUUCGGGGUGAAAGGUUCAGCGCUCAACGCGAACAGUGCCUUGAAUACUGGGUGACUUGAGGCCGGGAGGGGGUAGCGGAAUUCCCAGUGUAGCGGUGAAAUGCGUAGAUAUUGGGAGGAACACCAGUGGCGAAGGCGGCUACCUGGACCGGUUCUGACGCUGAUGCGCGAAAGCGUGGGUAGCAAACAGG